AAAGCCCCUUGCACUUACGCCUAAUUUAAAACAAAAAGAGGUUGGCCAUGUGCCUAAUUUUUUUAUAUAUAUAAAAUGGAAUUCAUGAUUAGGGCUUUGCCCAUUUACCUGGAAGGCAAACCACAUAAAGGCAGCAGUUCUGCCUGCGCUCAUAAGACCGUGGAAUCAAUUAUCAUUCCGCGAAAAAAAACUAUAUAAGGGGUUUUAAUCGAAAACAUAUUUCGGACUUAAGGUAAACUCGUUUUUAUACUUUAUCGUGAUUUUAGUCUUGAUAAUUUGUUUUGGGUACUGAAAUUUAGUUUUUAAAGACAAGAAUUAUGGACCAUAAGGGUUGUUUUGGAUAAAAAGUUUGAUAAAUUGGAAGUUAGCAUGAAACCUUGAAGGUUGGGUAGUCUAAUUUUACCAUGAAUUAGCCUAAGAUACAAGAUUUAACACAAGAAUGGAUAUGAUGGAAUUAUAGGUUUGAUCCAAGAAAGUGAUACGAAGCGUUUGUGGUGUCAAAUUUGGUACUUCGACACGUGUACUGUGAGUAGUAAUCUUACCAUAAUUUGUGUUUGUUAACUUGCAUAUUGUAUACUUGAUUUUGAUGAAACAAUAAGUUAUGAACUGUUUUCAAAUUGCAUGUGGGGCAAGUCCUUUCUUGAUAUGAUAUUGAAAUGGUUAUUUGAGAUAUGAUAUUAUUACAGUGAAUAUUCUUCACAUAUAAGAGAAAUAUGUAUUUUGACAUGUGUUUUAUUCAAGUUUACAUGUAACAUUAUUUGAUAUGAACUUUAAAUGAUAUGUACUACUCUGAAAAAUGUUUUCAUAUGAAUAUCUUAUUGUUUACAAAGAAUUUAUAAAGGGGAGUAGACCUUGAUGUGAAUCCCAUAGCUAACGGCGAGAUCGUUAGACUUGGUAAACCUUGUAUUUACUGAUGACUGUUACAACUCUUGCUAGUGGGAAGGUAGAAUAGCAUACUGAUACUGAUAUGAUAUUUGACUCUCACUGCUAGGACUAUUCUUGAUGAAAAAGAAUGUCACACUAAUUACAUGAUUUAUUCUUGGAAACCUCCCAAAUAUGUAAUAUUUGAUAUGAUACGAUGCUUUUUGAGUUUAUUACUGAACUAUUGGUUCACUUGGCUUACAUGAAACAAUGAUAUUGUUUAUCGUUAUUAUUUUCUGAAAGAGCAUUAUUUUGUGAUAUUUUAUGACUUGUUCCCAUUAAAGCGGUUGUGGUUAAGUGUUAUUACUCACUGAGCUAGCGUCUCACUCCUCGCUAUUAUUUUUCAGAGAACGCAGGUGACGGUGGGGAACUCGUUGGCUAGAGAAUUCGUGUAGCAUAUUCCUGGUGAUCUCCGUAUUUAUUUGCGUGGGCAAAAAUUUAUUUGUUUGCUAUAUUCUGU
RNAcentral lists this long non-coding RNA (1381 nucleotides) under Capsicum annuum. Its description in RNAcentral is "long non-coding RNA (CANN_LNC011896)". Lineage: Eukaryota; Viridiplantae; Streptophyta; Magnoliopsida; Solanales; Solanaceae. The record is from RNAcentral.